AUAGGUCAUCAUAGCUCAGUGACAUAGGGAGAGUGAAUAUGACGACUUAAGGGAGUUGCAAGAGGAGGUAAAAUAAGAUGAGAUCCGGUGAAGAACCAACGCUAUCGACAUAGGUCAUAGCUCAGUGACAUAGG
This is a long non-coding RNA of Pectinophora gossypiella (pink bollworm), 134 nucleotides long. RefSeq lists it as uncharacterized. The transcript has 3 exons. The record is from RefSeq and is a predicted model, not a curated record. Lineage: Eukaryota; Metazoa; Arthropoda; Insecta; Lepidoptera; Gelechiidae.